RNAcentral lists this ribosomal RNA (134 nucleotides) under Salmonella enterica subsp. enterica serovar Agona str. 400095 18. RNAcentral describes it as "partial 23S ribosomal RNA". It matches the Rfam family "Bacterial large subunit ribosomal RNA", at positions 2799 to 2925 of the family's 2925-position model. The record is from RNAcentral. Lineage: Bacteria; Pseudomonadati; Pseudomonadota; Gammaproteobacteria; Enterobacterales; Enterobacteriaceae.
CCGAGAUGAGUUCUCCCUGAGACUUAGAGUCUCCUGAAGGAACGUUGAAGACGACGACGUUGAUAGGCCGGGUGUGUAAGCGCAGCGAUGCGUUGAGCUAACCGGUACUAAUGAACCGUGAGGCUUAACCUUAC